This 522-nucleotide ribosomal RNA is filed under the name Alternaria viburni. Its description in RNAcentral is "eukaryotic LSU rRNA". The stretch from base 202 to 355 matches the Rfam family "5.8S ribosomal RNA". RNAcentral also lists the same sequence under 3 other names. Lineage: Eukaryota; Fungi; Ascomycota; Dothideomycetes; Pleosporales; Pleosporaceae. The record is from RNAcentral.
AUCAUUACACAAUAACAAGGCGGGCUGGACACCCCCCGCUGGGCACUGCUUCACGGCGUGCGCGGCGGGGCCGGCCCUGCUGAAUUAUUCACCCGUGUCUUUUGCGUACUUCUUGUUUCCUGGGUGGGCUCGCCCGCCCUCAGGACCAACCACAAACCUUUUGCAAUAGCAAUCAGCGUCAGUAACAACGUAAUUAAUUACAACUUUCAACAACGGAUCUCUUGGUUCUGGCAUCGAUGAAGAACGCAGCGAAAUGCGAUACGUAGUGUGAAUUGCAGAAUUCAGUGAAUCAUCGAAUCUUUGAACGCACAUUGCGCCCUUUGGUAUUCCAAAGGGCAUGCCUGUUCGAGCGUCAUUUGUACCCUCAAGCUUUGCUUGGUGUUGGGCGUCUUUUGUCUCCAGUUCGCUGGAGACUCGCCUUAAAGUCAUUGGCAGCCGGCCUACUGGUUUCGGAGCGCAGCACAAGUCGCGCUCUUUGCCAGCCAAGGUCAGCGUCCAGCAAGCCUUUUUUUCAACCUUUGA